This is a non-coding RNA of Cyanistes caeruleus (blue tit), 502 nucleotides long. Lineage: Eukaryota; Metazoa; Chordata; Aves; Passeriformes; Paridae. The record is from RefSeq and is a predicted model, not a curated record.
GUCCCUGGAGCAGUGGGAGCUGCCGCUGGCCCCAGGCACUGUCCUGUGAGGAGCUGCUGAAGGACGCUGAGACUGAGGGGGCUGAGGAGGCGCUGAUGCUGAAGGGACCUUGCAAACCUUGAGCUGUCCUGAAGAGCUUGAGGACAGGCAGACACUGAGAGGAGCCAGCAGGGAGAAGCUGAAGGCCUGGAGCAAGAGCAGUGAGCAGGGAUGUGCUGGGGCCACGCGAGAGCCUGGAUGUCCCAUCUGCUGUCCCUGUCCAGGAGAGCUGCUCUGCAUGGCAGGAAAAGACUGAGGGAGAGGCUUUGAAGAUGGGGCGGCUGAUUUGUUCUUAUGCAGUUGUAUGGAUAUUUAGAUUGGGACAGUGACAUUUGUAUCUUUUCAAAUAGUUUUGUUUUAUAUAUCUAUAUGUAUAUGUAUUUUAUAAAAUAUGUAAUAUUUAAUCUGUAUUUCCAUCUGUAGAUUGUUCUAUAUGUAUAUCUAGAGGUAUUUAGUUCUAUUU